UGAAGCGAAAGCGGAACGACCCUUCGGGGAGCUUUCACAGGUGCUGCAUGGCUGUCGUCAGCUCGUGUCGUGAGAUGUUCGGUUAAGUCCGCUAACGAGCGCAACCCUCGCCGCGUGUUAUACGUGCCACGCGGGACUGCCAGUCUUAAGCUGGAGGAAGGUGGGGAUGACGUCAAGUCAGCAUGGCCUUUAUGUCCUGGGCUACACACACGCUACAAUGGCCGGUACAGUAGGUAGCGAAGCCGCGAGGUGGAGCCAAUCCACAAAGCCGGUCUCAGUUCAGAUUGCAGGCUGCAACCCGCCUGCAUGAAGACGGAGUUGCUAGUAACCGCAGGUCAGCUAUACUGCGGUGAAUACGUUCCCGGGCCUUGUACACACCGCCCGUCACGUCAUGGGAGCUGGUAACACCUGAAGUCAGUAUUCUAACCGUAAGGAGGGAGCUGCCGAGGGUGGGGCUGGUGACUGGGACGAAGUCGUAACAAGGUAGGUGUACCGGAAGG
RNAcentral lists this ribosomal RNA (500 nucleotides) under uncultured bacterium. RNAcentral describes it as "bacterial SSU rRNA". It matches the Rfam family "Bacterial small subunit ribosomal RNA", at positions 997 to 1512 of the family's 1533-position model. The record is from RNAcentral.